AUUGAACGCUGGCGGCAGGCCUAACACAUGCAAGUCGAACGAGUGGCGGACGGGUGAGUAAUGUCUGGGAACCUGCCUGAUGGAGGGGGAUAACUACUGGAAACGGUAGCUAAUACCGCAUACCAUCAGAUGUGCCCAGAUGGGAUUAGCUUGUUGGUGGGGUAACGGCUCACCAAGGCGACGAUCCCUAGCUGGUCUGAGAGGAUGAACAGACACAAGGGAACUGAGACACGGUCAAGACGACGACGGGAGGCAGUAGGGGGGAAGAGUGCACAAGGGGGGCAAGCCUGAUGCAGCCAUGCCGCGUGUAUGAAGAAGGCCUUCGGGUUGUAAAGUAAUUUAAGCGGGGAGGCGUUACCCACAGAAGAAGCACCGGCUAACUCCGUGCCAGCAGCCGCGGUAAUUC
Molecule: ribosomal RNA, 406 nt
Filed under: uncultured bacterium
Lineage: Bacteria
Description: partial 16S ribosomal RNA
Rfam family: Bacterial small subunit ribosomal RNA
Source: RNAcentral